AAUAGAUACCCCGGUAGUCCACGCCGUAAACGAUGAGUGCUAAGUGUUAGAGGGUUUCCGCCCUUUAGUGCUGCGAGCAAACGCAUUAAGCACUCCGCCUGGGGAGUACGGUCGCAAGACUGAAACUCAAAGGAAUUGACGGGGGCCCGCACAAGCGGUGGAGCAUGUGGUUUAAUUCGAAGCAACGCGAAGAACCUUACCAGGUCUUGACAUCCUCUGACAACCCUAGAGAUAGGGCUUCCCCUUCGGGGGCAGAGUGACAGGUGGUGCAUGGUUGUCGUCAGCUCGUGUCGUGAGAUGUUGGGUUAAGUCCCGCAACGAGCGCAACCCUUGAUCUUAGUUGCCAGCAUUCAGUUGGGCACUCUAAGGUGACUGCCGGUGACAAACCGGAGGAAGGUGGAGAUGACGUCAAAUCAUCAUGGCCCUUAUGCCCAGGGCUACACACGUGCUACAAUGGCUGGUACAAUGAGCCGCGAACCCGUGAGGGUGAGCUAAUCUCAAAAAACCAGUCUCAGUUCGGAUUGG
This 525-nucleotide ribosomal RNA is filed under the name uncultured bacterium. Its description in RNAcentral is "bacterial SSU rRNA". It matches the Rfam family "Bacterial small subunit ribosomal RNA", at positions 777 to 1301 of the family's 1533-position model. The record is from RNAcentral.